Molecule: ribosomal RNA, 2009 nt
Filed under: human gut metagenome
Description: bacterial LSU rRNA
Rfam family: Bacterial large subunit ribosomal RNA
Source: RNAcentral
UAAAGUAAGAAAGAGCGUAUGGCGGAUGCCUAGGCACAGAGAGGCGAAGAAGGACGCAGCAAACAGCGAAAUGCGACGGUUAGCAGUAAGCAUGCAACGAUCCGUCGAUGUCCGAAUGGGGGAACCCACCUGGAGUAGAGACCAGGUAUCCUGAAGUGAAUAAAUAGCUUCAGAGAGGCGAGACUCAGGGAACUGAAACAUCUAAGUACCUGAAGGAAGAGAAAAUAAACGAAUGAUUCCCUAAGUAGCGGCGAGCGAAAGGGGAAGAGCCCAAACCGAUCUUAGGAUCGGGGUUGUAGGACUGUCGGCAAAGAGCAAGAAAUCAUUAUAGGCGAACGGAAUGGGAAGUCCGGCGAAACAGGGUGACAGCCCCGUAGCCGAAAUAGUGAAGAAGCACGAGACAGCACCUGAGUACGGCGGGACACGAGGAAUCCUGUCGGAAUCCACCAGGACCAUCUGGUAAGGCUAAAUACUCCUCUGUGACCGAUAGUGAACCAGUACCGUGAGGGAAAGGUGAAAAGAACCCCGGGAGGGGAGUGAAAUAGAACCUGAAACCAUAUGCUUACAAGAAGUUAGAGCCCGUUAAAGGGUGAUAGCGUGCCUUUUGUAGAAUGAACCGGCGAGUUACGAUAUGGAGCGAGGUUAAGCAGGAUAUGCGGAGCCGAAGCGAAAGCGAGUCUUAACAGGGCGAAAGUUGCAUGUCGUAGACCCGAAACCGAGUGAUCUAGCCAUGACCAGGUUGAAGUUGGGGUAAAACCCGAUGGAGGACCGAACCGACCCCCGUUGAAACGUUGGCGGAUGAGUUGUGGCUAGGGGUGAAAUUCCAAUCGAACUCGGAGAUAGCUGGUUCUCCCCGAAAUAGCUUUAGGGCUAGCGUCGAGGUAAAGUCGUGUGAAGGUAGAGCACUGAAUAUGUGAUGGCCCCAUCUCGGGGUACUGAACAUAAUCAAACUCCGAAUGUCACAAAGAUAUACUCGGCAGUCAGACAGUGGGUGAUAAGGUCCAUUGUCAAAAGGGAAACAGCCCAGACCAUCAGCUAAGGUCCCAAAAUAUAUACUAAGUGGAAAAGGAUGUGGAGAUGUCCAGACAACUAGGAGGUUGGCUCAGAAGCAGCCAUCCUUUAAAGAGUGCGUAACAGCUCACUAGUCGAAUGACUCUGCGCCGAUAAUUUACCGGGGCUAAGUAUAUUACCGAAGCUAUGGAUUUACGCGUAAGCGUGAGUGGUAGGGGAGCGUUCUAUGUGCGGAGAAGCGGUACCGUAAGGAGCCGUGGAGCGCAUAGAAGAGAGAAUGCCGGUGUGAGUAGCGAAACGUGGGUGAGAAUCCCACGCACCGAAAACCCAAGGUUUCCAGAGGAAGGUUCGUCCGCUCUGGGUAAGUCGGGACCUAAGGCGAGGCCGAGAGGCGUAGUCGAUGGACAACAGGUAGAGAUUCCUGUACUUACGGUAUGAAUGAUGGAGUGACGGAGAAGGCUAGCGGAUCCUGCUGAUGGAAAUGCAGGUGCAAGCGAGGUAGCCGACAGCCAGGCAAAUCCGGCUGUCGAAAGGCAAAGGCGUGAGGCGUAUGGAAAGCUGCGGCAAGUACAGAAGUCCGUGAAGCCAGCUUCCAAGAAAAGCUUCUAGUGAUAAUCAUACAGUAACCCGUACCGAAAAUGGACACACAUGGGUGAGGAGAGAAUCCUAAGGUGAGCGAGAGAACUAUAGCUAAGGAACUCUGCAAAAUGACUCCGUAACUUAGGGAUAAGGAGUGCUCAUAGAGAUAUGAGCCGCAGUGAAACGGCCCAAGCGACUGUUUACCAAAAACACAGCUCUAUGCUAAGUCGAAAGACGACGUAUAUGGGGUGACGCCUGCCCGGUGCUGGAAGGUUAAGAGGAUGUGUCAGCGCAAGCGAAGCGUUGAAUUGAAGCCCCAGUAAACGGCGGCCGUAACUAUAACGGUCCUAAGGUAGCGAAAUUCCUUGUCAGGUAAGUUCUGACCCGCACGAAAGGCGUAACGAUUUGGGCGCUGUCUC